AUGGCCAAAUUCUGGUGGGGGAGCUCACUGGAUAAAAAAUCUCUUCAUUGGAUCGCUUGGGAUAAGUUAGCUACACCAAAAAUUAAGGGCGAGAUGGGAUUCCGUGACUUACGACAGUUCAACUUGGCACUCUUAGGGAAGCACGGGUGGAGAUUAAUGACAGAUCCUCACUCCUUAUGUGCUAGACUUCUAAAAAGCAGUUAUUUUCAUGAUACAGACUUCAUGCAUGCCACUAUUCCGAAGUCUGCUUCAACCACAUGGAGAGCGAUCAUAGCCGGCCGUGAAGCACUCAAUGUGGGAUUGGUGAAAAGAGUUGGUGAUGGAGCAUCCAUCUCACUUUGGGAGGACAAAUGGAUACACACUACAGUAACAAUGUCGUCAAUAUUCAAACCGGCUAAUACACAUGUUCAGAUAGUAAGUGACUUGAUUGAUACAUCAAGUUGGACAUGGAACCGGUAA
Molecule: ribosomal RNA, 459 nt
Filed under: Triticum aestivum (bread wheat)
Lineage: Eukaryota; Viridiplantae; Streptophyta; Magnoliopsida; Poales; Poaceae
Description: partial small subunit ribosomal RNA
Source: RNAcentral